Anastrepha ludens (Mexican fruit fly) is the source of this 2088-nucleotide long non-coding RNA. RefSeq lists it as uncharacterized. The transcript has 4 exons. The record is from RefSeq and is a predicted model, not a curated record. Lineage: Eukaryota; Metazoa; Arthropoda; Insecta; Diptera; Tephritidae.
GCACUUGCCAUUACUUUUCAAAAUCAAAUUCUCUUAAAUGUAAAUUAAAACGUACCACGUACCGUUGUUUGACACUCAUCGUCGUCGUCACUACACAUUUCUUUGCCAGCACAGACGCCACCACACAGCCAAUCGCCGUGGUGGCGGUCGUGGGGAAGAUGUCGGUUUAGUGCGUUAGCCAACGGCUUUGUUUAUUAUUGCAUUGCUUUGCAAUUUUUUUCGUUUAUUUUUUGUUGCUUGCGGAUUUUAAUUGUUUAUUGUUUUAUUCUCGUUCAUUUCGUUUGAAUGCCACCAGCGAUUACCAAUCCGCAACAAGUGAGAAAUGUAAAUAGUAUUUAUAAUGCGAAAAGAACAAAGGAAAUUUAAGAACAAAAACAAUAACACAAAUCAGAAAAGUGCAUCAACAACAACAAUAAACAGAGAAACAAAUAUUUGUGCGGAAUUGCAAAGAAAAUUAUGAUGAAGGUUUUAAAUUUCAAAACAAAACAUAAGAGUAGUAUAAUCGCAAUAAAUGGUGGAAACUUAGUAGGGGAGAGAAAGAGGCGAAAGGAAAAAGUUGCUGUUAUACUAACAACUUAACUGCCAGCCAGCUCCAUUUUCUCAUCAUCCCCAAACAACAGUGCUACAGCAGUUGAAGAGCUCACUAACGGCAUCUACGUGUACUCGCAUAUUCAAACAUAAACAAUAACUUUUAAGUAGCUCAGCAACAGCGUGCAAAUGCACUAUGCGGUACCUAACAGCGGCAACAACAUUAGAUACUACAUUGAGCAUAGAGUGGGGAAGCACAAGCCAAAGCGCCAACACUAAAAAUAACAAACGAUUUUUUUUUUUUGAAAAUAACGGAUGUAACAUGAUACUUUUGAAUGCUUUUUUACAUUUCUUUCGUUUUUCUUUAUUUUUAUUUUCAUAAAUUUUUACGCCACCCUAACUUUCUGUAUACACAUGCAUGUGUACAUACAUAUUAAACAGAAAUAUUUCGCAGAAGUGAGUGAGCGGUAGUCUGAUAGUCAGUGCGCCCCCUCCUUGCAUUGUCUUCGUGCUUUUUAUUUAGUUAACAGCAAUGGUGUUUAAUGCGAUUUGAAGUGCAGUCAAUAGAUGAAAAAGUUGAGAAAACAAAAAAACGUAAAGAGAGAUCAAAACAACAAUAACAAUAACUAGUGAGGGGCGUGGAUUGUGGUCGGGAGUGGGUGGCUGGAGUGGUGGGAAUGGGGGUGGAGUAUUGAUAAGCAAUAGCUGGAAUAAAUCAACAGUGAGAUUGAAAGCACUUUGAGAUAAAAAAAAUUGGAACAUAAAAAAGUCGAAGUAAAAACGAAGUGUAAGCACAAGUAAAUACAACAAUAAUUGAGAAGAGCAACCGAAGUAUCAGUACUACGAAAACCCAAUGUUGCUUUUGUUUUCUGCUGGUGGUAGUGCAAUAUCGCCAACAUACAUACAUGCAUACACAUGUAUAAACUGGAAAACCAUUCAGUGGAAUCACAGCAACAAAGGCAAUACGAUAAAAGAGAUUAACUAAUAGGAAAAUAGUAAUGCCAGUUAGCAAUGGCAAUGACAUUUGUAAAGUGCGCGUCCAAAAAGAGUGCAACAUAUGAUUGAAAAUACAUAUGUAUAAGAAAAUGAGAAUAGCAAAUGACAAAUAACAAAAGAAAAAGUUUAGACAUUUGUUUUCAAGUUUAUUUUUUUCCUUUAAUAUGUAAUUUGAUCCUUUGGACACACUCGCUGCACCAUUCGCUUAUGACCAUUAUAAUAUAAUGAUGGCGACCAGAUCGGUGGCAACAGCAACAACGUGUGGUCUGGACUGCGGUUAAUAUUGUGUGGUGGGUUUUUGGAGGUGACGUGCUAUACAUAUUUUUAUGCAUAUGUACAUACAUAUAUAUGUAUGUGUAUAUGUAUGCACACAUGUACAAAUAACAUAGUUGUAGUCUUUUGGACUGAAACUCGUAUUGCGCCACUUUGGAAGAAGGAAGACUUUGUGGCAUUUGGUGCUUACAUAAGGAUGUAUGUAUGAAUGUAACGGGUAUUUUUUUAAGAGCUUGAGCACAGAAAUAUUGUUAAAAUAAUAAUAAACUUAAACUUUAAAUAAUAAUAAAU